RNAcentral lists this ribosomal RNA (497 nucleotides) under uncultured bacterium. RNAcentral describes it as "partial 16S ribosomal RNA". It matches the Rfam family "Bacterial small subunit ribosomal RNA", at positions 28 to 507 of the family's 1533-position model. The record is from RNAcentral.
GAUGAACGCUGGCGGCGUGCCUAAUACAUGCAAGUAGAACGCUGAAGGAAGGAGCUUGCUCUUUCCGGAUGAGUUGCGAACGGGUGAGUAACGCGUAGGUAACCUGCCUGGUAGCGGGGGAUAACUAUUGGAAACGAUAGCUAAUACCGCAUAACAGUAGAUGUUGCAUGAUAUCUACUUAAAAGGUGCAAUUGCACCACUACCAGAUGGACCUGCGUUGUAUUAGCUAGUUGGUGAGGUAACGGCUCACCAAGGCGACGAUACAUAGCCGACCUGAGAGGGUGAUCGGCCCCCCCGGGACUGGGACACGGCCCAGACUCCUACGGGGAGCAGCAGUAGGGAAUCUUCGGCAAUGGACGGAAGGCUGACCGAGCAACGCCGCGUGAGUGAAGGAGGUUUUCGGGUCGUAAAGCUCUGUUGUAAGGGAAGAACGAGUGUGAGAGUGGAAAGUUCACACUGUGACGGUAUCUUACCAGAAAGGGACGGCUAACUACGUG